RNAcentral lists this transfer RNA (84 nucleotides) under Cronobacter dublinensis 1210. RNAcentral's name for it is "tRNA-Sup-TTA". It matches the Rfam family "tRNA". Rfam says of the family: Transfer RNA (tRNA) molecules are approximately 80 nucleotides in length. Their secondary structure includes four short double-helical elements and three loops (D, anti-codon, and T loops). Lineage: Bacteria; Pseudomonadati; Pseudomonadota; Gammaproteobacteria; Enterobacterales; Enterobacteriaceae. The record is from RNAcentral.
GCCCGGGUGGUGAAAUCGGUAGACACAAGGGACUUUAAAUCCCUCGGCGUUCGCGCUGUGCGGGUUCAAGUCCCGCCCCGGGCA